Anolis carolinensis (green anole) is the source of this 1928-nucleotide long non-coding RNA. RefSeq lists it as uncharacterized. The transcript has 3 exons. The record is from RefSeq and is a predicted model, not a curated record. NCBI's taxonomy places the organism in Eukaryota, Metazoa, Chordata, Lepidosauria, Squamata, Anolidae.
ACCAAAUAGACCCAGCAAGGCCAACUGUGCAUACUGAUAAUAAAAAAACUUUAUAUUUACAUUACUUCCACAACAGACUUUUAAGGAUAGUUUUGGCUGUCUUUAUGAAAACCUUUAUCCCCCCCCCCCCCACCUUACCCACCCACCAGUGGGCCCCUUUGGCCCCUCUGCUGUCAUGUUUCUACAAGGUAAGAGAGGACAUGUUUAAGGCCUUCCAGGCUGGCUUUCUCCUCCUAGGCCACAAAGAGGACACCAUCUUGCCUCCUCACGAUUGCUCCAAAGAAGCCAGCUUCUGCCUAGCUCAUUGCCAGAACUGUCCUUCUACAAGGUAAGACAGUACAUGUUUAAGGCCUUCCAGGCUGGCUUUCUCCUCCUAGGCCCCAAAGAGGACGCCAUCUUGCCUCCUCACGAUUGCUCCAAAGAAGCCAGCUUCUGCCUAGCUCAUUGCCAGAACUGUCCUUCUACAAGAAGAGUGUAGAAAGGGAACAGCAUUUACAGGAAGAAAAAGAUAUCACUUUCCCUUGAAGAUAGAGUCCUAAUAUAUACCAUGAGAGAAGACCAAACGAUUUUCAGCAAAAAACUGAAGUGCAUGCAAACUUUUCAAAGCAGUAAAGGACACAUGAUGAUAAGCAGAACAAAACUUUCUUCUGAAGGAUCGGAGAAUAAAAAUGGAAAAUGCAGAAAAAAGAAUGCAAACUUAAGGAAGGUUUCCUCAUAGACCACAUGUGAAGCUGCAACAUUCAGCUAUAUAUUUAUUGUAAUGUGAAUGUAUUGCCAACAUGAAUUGGAAUUCUAACAAUAAUAGCUACCCAUGGGACACUAGAAAAGCUAUGCAGAAAAACAAUACCAUCAGAGAAAAGUCAAUUUUGCUGGACUUUUGAGAUUGAUCUUUUUUGAUAGGAAUGACAUGUUUAAUAUCUAGUAUUACCUUAUGAUGUAUUCCCUUGCCUACUCUGCAUGUUUUACACAUUGCUACACAAACAGGAGGGAUGUUAUUGUUUGGAAUAAAGAUGGGCAGACUGGGAAAGCAAUAAGAUCCACUUCUAGAGAAGGAGGACGGAGAACGCAAUAUGUAAUUCUUGCUUCUCAAAAGCAAUGUUGCUUGUUAAACCCCCCACAGAAUAAACAUAAUACAGAUCUUUAUUCCCUGAAUCUUUCCAACAACAAACUCAACUUACACUCCCUCAACAGUCUAGUUACAUAACAUGCCUUGCAAACAACCUCUGCCCCAUUUUAUAAAGACAUAAUGAACAAUGGCGUAGCCAUAGUAACAUCAUUUACCCUGAAGCCUAUACUAGUCCACUGCAAAUGUUGAAGGUUUUUUCUUCAUGUUGUCAAAAGCUUCAGAUAUCUUUCCUUGCUCUUCUUCAAACUGCAGCUUUGCCUGAACAACAAAAAACAAGAAGAUCCGAUCUACUUUACCUUACCUCAUCACACCCCAUCGCAGCUUACCUUCUGCCAUCAUCACUGUGCCAAAACCAAAUACUUCAAGUUCAGUGAAACCUUCAGGGAGCGGGUGUGAUGUUGCCAUCUUGUCGUAGCAGUAAGGCCAGACUAACCUAGGCUCUGCCUCAUGCACUGGCAAACUGUCUGUGACAAUCUCUCUCUCUUUUUGGCUGGGUUCUCUGCCUUUUCCAAAAGCCCAAGGCAGCUUUCUUCUUAAAGGGCCGGUCCGUAAAUUGAUACUGACCGAUAAUUUUGAGAAAGAAGCUCUGUACUGCAACUUUUUCCAGAAUUCCCUUGAUAAAGCAAAUGACAGCAUCCAUUUGAAUGUACAUUUUGCAAAAUAAACCAUUUAUGGAAUGCUGUUUUGGUCUUUACGGGAUACUUUGGAUACAUGAAAUGAACGCAUUUGUGCAAUUAAGACUCACAUGAUUUUAGCAUGGCCAUGAUUCCAUGAAAGUCUCUCACUGUCCUUUAUAAACAAA